This 433-nucleotide ribosomal RNA is filed under the name uncultured bacterium. Its description in RNAcentral is "partial 16S ribosomal RNA". It matches the Rfam family "Bacterial small subunit ribosomal RNA", at positions 29 to 507 of the family's 1533-position model. The record is from RNAcentral.
AGCGAACGCUGGCGGCAGGCCUAACACAUGCAAGUCGAACGAACUCUUCGGAGUUAGUGGCGGACGGGUGAGUAACACGUGGGAACGUGCCUUUUGGUUCGGAAUAACUCAGGGAAACUUGUGCUAAUACCGAAUGUGCCCUUCGGGGGAAAGAUUUAUCGCCAUUAGAGCGGCCCGCGUCUGAUUAGCUAGUUGGUGAGGUAACGGCUCACCAAGGCGACGAUCAGUAGCUGGUCUGAGAGGAUGACCAGCCACACUGGGACUGAGACACGGCCCAGACUCCAACGGGAGGCAGCAGUGGGGAAUCUUGCGCAAUGGGCGAAAGCCUGACGCAGCCAUGCCGCGUGAAUGAUGAAGGUCUUAGGAUUGUAAAAUUCUUUCACCGGGGACGAUAAUGACGGUACCCGGAGAAGAAGCCCCGGCUAACUUCGUG